UGGGGAAUAUUGCGCAAUGGGCGAAAGCCUGACGCAGCGACGCCGCGUGAGGGAUGAAGGUCUUCGGAUUGUAAACCUCUUUCAGCAGGGACGAAGCGAAAGUGACGGUACCUGAAGAAGAAGCACCGGCUAACUACGUGCCAGCAGCCGCGGUAAUACGUAGGGUGCAAGCGUUGUCCGGAUUUAUUGGGCGUAAAGAGCUCGUAGGCGGUUAGACACGUCGGAUGGGAAAACUGGGGGCUCAACCCC
This 249-nucleotide ribosomal RNA is filed under the name uncultured Actinomycetales bacterium. Its description in RNAcentral is "partial 16S ribosomal RNA". It matches the Rfam family "Bacterial small subunit ribosomal RNA", at positions 355 to 616 of the family's 1533-position model. The record is from RNAcentral. Lineage: Bacteria; Bacillati; Actinomycetota; Actinomycetes; Actinomycetales.